This 67-nucleotide transfer RNA is filed under the name Marmota monax (woodchuck). RNAcentral describes it as "tRNA.Met". Lineage: Eukaryota; Metazoa; Chordata; Mammalia; Rodentia; Sciuridae. The record is from RNAcentral.
GGUUAUAGCUCAGUGGUAGAGUUCUUGCCUCAUACACGUGAGGCGCUGGGUUCAAUCCUCAGCACCA